This 603-nucleotide ribosomal RNA is filed under the name uncultured bacterium. RNAcentral's name for it is "bacterial SSU rRNA". The stretch from base 1 to 516 matches the Rfam family "Bacterial small subunit ribosomal RNA", at positions 338 to 873 of the family's 1533-position model. The record is from RNAcentral.
CCUACGGGAGGCAGCAGUGGGGAAUAUUGGACAAUGGGCGCAAGCCUGAUCCAGCCAUGCCGCGUGAGUGAUGAAGGCCCUAGGGUUGUAAAGCUCUUUCGGCGGGGAAGAUAAUGACGGUACCCGCAUAAGAAGCCCCGGCUAACUUCGUGCCAGCGGCCGCGGUAAUACGAAGGGGGCUAGCGUUGCUCGGAAUCACUGGGCGUAAAGGGUGCGUAGGUGGGUCUUUAAGUCAGAGGUGAAAUCCUGGAGCUCAACUCCAGAACUGCCUUUGAUACUGAGGAUCUUGAGUUCGGGAGAGGUGAGUGGAACUGCGAGUGUAGAGGUGAAAUUCGUAGAUAUUCGCAAGAACACCAGUGGCGAAGGCGGCUCACUGGCCCGAUACUGACACUGAGGCACGAAAGCGUGGGGAGCAAACAGGAUUAGAUACCCUGGUAGUCCACGCCUUAAACGAUGAAUGCCAGCCGUUGGUGGGUUUACUCAUCAGUGGCGCNGCUACGACUUAGUACAUCCGCCGUGGGAGGCGACGGUCGCGAGAAGUUAAACGUACGAAAGAAAGUUAGUAGCGUUGAGAGNGCCGACGGACGACGACGAGGGAGGAGG